GGAGAGGUGGCCGAGCGGCUGAAGGCAGCUGCCUGCUAAGCAGUUAUGGGGGAAACUCCAUCCAGGGUUCGAAUCCCUGCCUCUCCG
This 87-nucleotide transfer RNA is filed under the name Candidatus Zixiibacteriota bacterium. RNAcentral describes it as "tRNA-Ser". It matches the Rfam family "tRNA". From Rfam's summary of the family: Transfer RNA (tRNA) molecules are approximately 80 nucleotides in length. The record is from RNAcentral. Lineage: Bacteria; Pseudomonadati; Candidatus Zixiibacteriota.